Molecule: long non-coding RNA, 20952 nt
Organism: Cavia porcellus (domestic guinea pig)
Lineage: Eukaryota; Metazoa; Chordata; Mammalia; Rodentia; Caviidae
Exons: 7
Source: RefSeq, a predicted model, not a curated record
UUCACAUGGACAAGAAAUAGAAAAAAAAAGGUUCCACUUGCAGUAGAAUGCUAAAAUGGGAAGAGGAUACUAGAUUUGUUCAUUUUGCAACCCAUAUAUUAAAAUUAGCAGUAAUAUAUGCUAACCAAAGGAAAAUUUUAAGCAAAUAUAACAUCUAAUGCCUCCCAACAAAUUGUUUAUUUAUUGUGAAGAAAAGAAAAAAAUACAGUGGUAAAUUCAGACUACAUAUUGACCAUGUGAUCUAAAUUAAGAUCAUCAAUGAGAGACAGAUGGGUAGCAUGUGCUUCCAGACCUUAGAAGCAACAUCCCUGUACAAUAAUAGUCCAGUUUAGAAUGCAUAACCUCAAUCUAAUCAUGAGGAAACAUAAGACAAACACAAAUCCAGAAAUGUUCUAGUAAGAAUGAGAGGAGUAGCCAUAUUUAAAUAUGGCAAAGUCAUAAAAAACAAAGACUGGAAAUUUCCCAAAGUAUAAGAAGCUAAAAAGACUCACCUGUCCCAAGACCGGAUCCAAGGGGGUUGGGGGGCACAUAUGCUGUAAGGUCAAUCAUCAAAUUGGAAUAUGGAUGAAAAAGUAUUGUUUCUAUGUAAAUUUAUAAAACUGACAUGAAAUACACUCAAGUGUUUAGCAUCUGUGUAGCUUAACUUAAAAUAGUUCAGGAAAAAAAUUAUACGUAUAUAAAAGAAAACUCAUCCACACACAAGAGUAAGCAAAAGGGAUGUUCUCUGCACUAUUUUUAUUUCUAAAUCUUUUGCAAAUUUAAGUUAUUUCCAAUUUAAAAGUUUAAAGAAAGCUAAAUCCACCUAAGAGAAACAAGAGCAACAGGAAAAUAAAAUUUGAAAACCCUGCUAACCAAUUGCUUUUAAAACAUUCACAAAUGUAUAGGUUUCAAGUUACUUUUCAGAAUUUUUUCUUCUUUAAGAGCCUACAUUCUUUCUUGAAAUAUGAAAAUACCUACAGCUUUCUAAAUAAGUUAAUAUGUUGAAGUCAACAUUCCAUCAAUUGUAGGUUGCUUAUUAGAAACAUCAGGAGGGAGGAAAAGCAUUGAAAUUAAAGACCUGUAUUCUCCACAUUAUCUACCUUUACCAUUCAUUUGCUGUUGAUUGUACUCCAGUUCCCAAAUGUAAAGCCCAGAUCUUAAAUUAUGACUUCAGUUUUUAUGACAAAGAGGAAUAUCCGAGACAUGAACUGAGUGGAAAACGAGGAGGAAACUCUACUACUAUAUUGAAGAAAGCAAGCUGAAAACUGUGUGCCCUAAUUGAGUACCUAAAUAACUGCAUUCUUCUCAUAAAGCAUAUCACUUUGUGGCAUAUUAAAAUUCUGGAAAGGUACUCUUGCUAGUUUUUACCCAUGAGUUUGACCUCUGAAGCAAAAGCACUUUUGCUAUUUUUUCUUUGAAAUGUAAUUCAGGAAUUUGCACCCCCUUGUGGUCUAACAUAAAAUUCUUCUUCUUCUUUUUUUUUUUUAAUUAUUCAUUUUUGAAAACUCGUUUUUUCCAGUUGGAUUUUUGCUCAGGCAAAAAUAAACCAUAUUACUUGAUUUUGUUUUCGCUCACUUGAGCAAAUGAAGAUGUCACUAAAGGGUUUUUUCCUUUGUUAAAUAAUAUUUUAAACAAAAUUAGAUAAAUUUUCUAAGAGACCUCCACAUAAACUUUUCCACAUUAACUGUGGAAAAGAAAUAACUGCACACACCUCAUUAGUUAUAUAAGGACUCAACAGGAAACUACAUGUGCAAGCUUAGCACAGUGCUUGAUACAUAAUAGAUACUCAGUGUUACUAUUUAUCAAGAUCUUCAUUACAGUGUUCUUGACAGGCUUUAUCUAUAAGAUUGUUAUCAAAAAUUCUACAGUGAGGAUAUCAGGAUGUGUUAUUUACCUAUUCAUAAAGUUCUAGCACAAUCUUGCAAAUAAAUUCCUCCAACAUACUAAUGUAUCUACACUUCCAGAUUCUCCCAACAGGCAUAUUUCUAAAGUACAAAGAAUAAUCAUCUCUGGGUGUUAGAAAUGUGGACAGUUUUUACUUUAUGUAUUUUAGACUCUUUAAUAAGCACAAAAAUAAAAUGAUUUCCACACAUCAUAUACUUAUGAAGUGGUAAGAUAACUAAACAUCCUUAUUCACCUGACAAGAAGCAUUCCUCAUAUUUGUCAAAAAUCAUCUCUCGGGCUGAUUUAUCUUUUUUUUUUUUUUUUUUUUUUUGCUUUUUAUCGGUACCGGGGAUCAAACUCACGACCACCUGCUUGCAAGGCAGGUGCUUAUGCCGCUGAGCUAAAUCCCCAGCCCUGAUUUAUCAUUUUAAGGGGCUCUUUGAACAAGAAUGCUAAAUCCUACUGGCAGUGACUUAAAUUUGAAAAUACCCAUUACAAAGAAGACAUUUUAAAGGGCCAGUGUUAAUGGCUCACAAAAAUAGCUAAUAUUUACUUAUAUGUUAAACAUUGUUGAAAGGCUUGAUUAAAAAGACAUGGUGGCGCCUGUCUGUAAGCACAACCCCAGAUACUCAGGAGGCUGAAACAGAUCCUGUUUAGGCAAUUUAGCAAGAACCCAGUUUCAAAAAGGACUCAGAUGUAGUUCAGUGGGAAAGCAUCCCUAGGUUUCAUCCCCAAAACAACAACAAAAAAAAAUAGGAAGGGGACUUUAAUACAUCAGCUUAUUUGCAUGCUUAAAAACUAUCUACUGAGCUACUAAUAUUAUUCCUUUUCAAACAAAAAGCCCAACUGAUGAAGUAUCACCUAAGGUCACACAUGUAGCAAAUUAGCAGAGGGUGGAUUCACACCAGGCCUUUUUCUUCAAGUCCACCCAUUUAAAACUAUACAAAAUUGCCAUGGAAAUUUAAAACACAUAGCACUCUGCUCUGUUAUUUUUGAUGAUCUCAAAGUGCUAAUGUCCAUUGCUUUUCCAACUUUACCUUAAUGUAAUGCUAACCUUUUCCCAUUUCCUUAUUUCUUAGUACUUGAGAAACUUCUAUAUCCAUUGUGAACUCACUAUGAUGGAGUAUACCUUUUUAUACUCAAACAAUUGUAGAUCAUCAUAAAUUCUUUUAGAGCAGGAACUGAUAGAAACAGUGAUAUUUCAGAUUUUAAACUGUCGAAUUCUUUAGAAAAUGCUCUUUGGGGUUAAGAAAAAAAAGGUAGCCAACCAAAAAUAAUCUUAAAGAAAAAGUGUCUCAAGCAAAUACAUGAUUAAGAAGACUUUAAAGAAAGAUGUUAAAAUGUUGAUAAUUUAGCCAAGUGUGGUGGUACAUGCCUGUAUGCCCAGAAUUCUUAGAAGACUGAGACAGGAGAUUUGACUCCAAUUUAGGCAAUUUAGCGACCCAGUGAAAUUUGCAAGUUCCAGUACUGCCUGGGGAAUUUUUUGAAAUCCUGAAUCAAAAUUUAAAAGGGCAGAGUGAUUUGCCUAGGGAUAUAUCUCAGUGAGAACUGAGGGUGGGUGUCAUAGCUCAGAACUGAAGGCCCUAGGUUCAAGCUCCAUACAAGAGGGGAAAAUAUCUGAUGCAUUACUUACUGCUCUAUCUUAGCGCCCAGUUUUUCAAGAUUAACAAAAGUUUGCCCUAGGAAUUUGGGGCAGGUCUCAUAUUUUAAGCAUCAAUUGUUAUCAUCUGUAAAAAGAUAAUAUAAUACCUACUUCACAGGACAGUUAUGGGCAAUAAACACGUACAAUCUACAAGGCGUUUAUGUAGCACAGUGCCCUCCAGUCAAUACGUGGUAGUUACUACUGUACGUUUUUUAGCGCGUUGCAUAACGGAAAUCGUCUCUGCUGGAUUCAGUAGCUAAUUUACCACUUUUUAAAUCACCCUAAGUGACAUUCAAAGAUUACCUAUUCCUAUCUCCAACUUGUAGCAGAAACUAAAGACUAGAAAAAUGGCAAGAGAAAUUGAAUUCGAUGGAAACGCCCGCAUAACAGGCAGCCUAGACAGAGAAGGGCUCCGUAUUUUAGAAAACUAGGCAAGGGCGCGCGCGACGUGGAGGGAAGGGGGAAACCACGCCUCCUGUGUUUGCGCAGGUUGGGACUGCAGUUUGGUAGCCCGGGCACUGGAAAUCACAGAUGAGGGCUCUGCCACGUGAAACCAAGGACACCACUAUAAUUCCUACCUAGUUUAAACUAUUCUGCAGUUUAAGUCAGGCGUGGUUGCACACGCCUGUAAUCCCAGCACUAGUGAGGCUGAGCGAGUUCAAAGCCAGCCUGGGCUACAUAGUGAGUUCAGGGUUGGCCUGAACCACACACUGAAGCCGUCAGUUCCGCGGCCAGCUGUGAUAGCUCCCGGUUACGGGUUCGUGACCCGCAAAAGCAGACUGGCGGGUUGUUUUACGCACUUGUGUGUCCAGGCACAUGUUUUCAGAGGCACAUCCGGUGGUUUGGAGUUUUGUAAAACGUUCUUUUCGCCUAAACUAGACCCCAGUUUUGUUUACCUUCAACUGUAGAUUAAAUGCCUGUAGUCUGAUAGGUAUUUGUGGAGUUUAUGGCCAGCAAAUGAAGUCUACGCCCGCCGCUGUACAAAGACGCACCACACAAGCAAGAAAAUAGCGAACAGGCACUGAAAAGGCGGAGGCGCACAACCAGGAUUCUACGCAUGUGCAAAGCCUAGCGUGUGCGUUUGCGCCUGCGUAAAAAUCGGGCUAGCGAGAGGGUGGGGGUUAAUAGGAGGUAUUGACAGCGGUGGAAGCAGCCCGCGUUCCCGGCAUGCUUCGGGGCGGCGGGGUUGGCUCUAACGAAUUUGAAUGAGGAGCUUCAGCGCUUUCGGCGCCAUUUUCGAGUGAUGCCUGAUCUCAUCAAUCUAGCGGGAGAGACUGGAUAACCUGUCCGGGAGUAUAGCACCACUAAGACCACGCCAAAAAAAUCACUAAAAAAUCACCAAAAAUAACUUAGAGAAAAGAGCAGCCCGCGGAACUUCGCCACGCUUGGCGCAGUCGGUUUUGACCUUUAAGUGAGCCAGUUCUGGAAAACAACCAAAGUUCUUUGAUUGAAUACUCGCAUGCAUUGGAACAUGAUUAGGAGAUUAAGGUUUCAUGAUAAAGUGAAGACCGUAAUAAAACAGCCUCUUAGCCUAGCAGUUCUUAUUUUUCUUUACCUGUCCUGAUGAAGAUGUCUUUUAAAAGAUAUACAACAAGGAACAAAAUGCAGUUUGUUAAUAGCAAAAUUCUGCUCUUAAUAAGGUGGAUAUUACUUUCCCUUCAUGGAAAAAGUUUUAAGUGUUCUCAUUAAAUAAUAUUAAAAAGGAGAAAAAUUAAUGUUCUAAAAUUUUUAGAUAGACUUGGCUGUAAUAAGCAUUUAGGUAUAUCAUUUACAUAUUUGGGGAAAGAAGAGUCCAUCAUCCAGUACAGUCCCAUCUACUAAAAAGUUUUAUUUUCUCUAUUAGUGGAUUUCUUGUGGCUCGUGUUUUAUUACUAAUAGCACGAACUCCUUCAAUGCAGAAUUGACUUGCACCAAAAACUUAAGAGCGUACAUCUUUAUCGUGUCUCUGAAAUAAAGUUCAGCAAUUUCUAAUUUUUUUCUUUCCUUUUUUGCAAGGCUAACCCUGUUUGAAAAUUUAAAAAGAAGGCUGGGGAUGUAGCUAAAUUCUCCUUGGUCAAACCUUCAGUAGUGGGUGUGUAUGGGGGCCUUAUAAUGCUUACCAAGCAUUCUCCCACCACGCUUCUCCCUCAGCCCUGUUUCUUUUUUUUAAAGGCUAUAUGCAGUGAAAAACAGUUUGGCAAAAUGUUUAGGCUUUUUUUUUUAAAUAUCAGUGCAAAAUGAUGUUACUUGCUGAUUUUGUGUGUGUGGUAUGGGUGUGGUGGUGUGAAGCAAGAUACUGGCUGAGGAUUAAAUCCAGGGCCUUUGUAAUGAACUGCAUCCACAGGCAACCCCACCUGCUUUCUGAGACAGUAUAAAUUGGUAAGUUGCCUAGAUUAGAUUGGAACUUGUGAUCCUCCUGCCUUACCCUCCCUCAGUGGUGGGAUUGCAGGUAUGCAUCACCAUGCCCCAACUCUUUGUACUUCUUAGGAAUAACAUUAACAGUUGUAUAUGCCUCAGUCUAUUUAAUCUUCACAAAUAAGAUAGUGUUUUUAUGAAUAUGGUUCAAAAUUAGAACCUCCAUCUGAGACCAUUUAGAGUCCAAAGGAAAUAUCUGAAUAGGUGGUUAAUAGUAUGUAAUGGUCAGGCUUUUAUGAAUUUACUCUGGUGAUCUGAAAUUGUUUUCCACUUGAUCAACAUAGCUGGAGUCAGAGUUAACAGUUCCAAGAGACACCCUGUAAUUUGUUUAUCUCUCAUCUGCCAUAAUCUUCUGUUCUGUUAUGUUGUUUUGAGACAGGAUCUCACAAAAUGUUUAAGGCUGACUUUGAACUUACUAUAUAGCCCAAGCUGGCCUCAAAUUCUGUAGUCCUACUGCUUCAGCCUCCCAAGUGCUGGGAUUGCAGCAGGCGCCAACAAUCCUAGUUUACCACAGUCAUUUUUCCUUUUUGCUAUAACUAAGUACUUCCUCAUUUCUUCUUUUUAGAGCAUGUUGACCGAGGAGUUGUCUCUGUUUCAGUCUUAAUUUCAUCUCCUAUAUAUACCACUAAUUUAAUCUUUUAAGACAGUUUUUUUCCUACAUGGUGAAACUCGCUUCUUAGCUGGAUUAUUUGUGGUUUUGCUUUAGCCUUUUCUGAGUUGUUCAGUUUUCUUCAGAUGGACUAGAUUUAAUCUUUUCAUUUUCCUUCCUAUAUUUCUUUAUCGUGUAUCACCACUUUAGUUCUCCCUUAACUAGUUUCAAUACCCUUUUAAAAAUGAAGCAAAAUCUCUCAUGUGGCAAGUGUUUCUGUCCCUCAUACACACCCACUACUGAAGAUUGACCAAGGAGAAUUUAGCUACAUCCCCAGCCUUCUUUUUUAAUUUUUAAACAGGAUCUCACCAAGGUGCUCAGGCUGGCCUCAGGCUUCCAGUUCUGCUUCAGCUUCCUGAAUAGCUGGAAUUAGAGCAAUCUUUUGCCAUACCUGGCAUAUCUUGUUCUUAAUGUUUUUCUCUCUCAACUCACUUGAGGCGUAUACACUGGUCCAUUAAUUGAGCCUCUUUUAUUUAUAUAUAUUAACCUUUCUGGUUAUUAGCAAUAUGGAUAAAAAUUUAAAAACAAAAGACGUAAUGAAAUAAGCAAGUGGACUAAGACAUCCAGAACUUCAGAAUGUCACUCAAAAAAACUAAAUGUCAAAUUCCAAAGAUCAAAUAUUAAUAUAGUCUGACAAGUGAUCUAGUUGUGUUUUUUAUAUAGUUACACGCGAACCAGCUAUAGUAUGUUUUAUGAUUUCAUUUUAACAAAUACCUUCCUAAACAAGCAGUAAUCCAUGAAUUUAUUAUAAAGUUUAUAAUAAGAAAUUGGAAGCAUUUUAAGCCUCUAGUAAUAAAAGGUUGAUAACUCAGUAGAAUGUUGUACUACUGACUAAAAUAUAUAAGUGAAUAUUUAAUGAACUAAACUUUGCCUGUGAUUGGACUGAAGAUGUAGCUCCAUGGUAGAGUACCUCAGCAUCACCAAAAAAUUGAAGUGACUAAAGGUUAUCAAGUGUUAAGAAUAUUCACUAUAAAAACUUUACUUGAAUAAGAGAUAAACCUUACUGGGAUGAAAGGGAUCUUAAUUACUUGGGUACUUGGUUGAGAGAGAUUUCACUGUUUCCAUACUCAUCCACCUCCUAAAACCUCAGAAGGUAAGUAUUUUAGUUUGGAAACUGUACUAAUAGUCUCAGUAAAGAAAUAGAAGUAUUUGAUAUUCAAUGAAACUUUCAGGCCUAAUUAACAGUAUUAAAAUUCUCAAUGUUUCCUUAGCAUAAAAAUUAAUAUACAUACAAACCUUGUAAAAGUAAAAAAUCAGUUUAAAAAAUAAUAAUUGUGACCAAAGACAACUAUGAUUCUUAGCCUUAUAUUCAUAUCUAAUUGCAUGUUUAGUGGGGUUUUUUGUUUUGUUUUGUUUUUUCAGUGCUAGGGGUUGAACCCUGGCCUCAAAAGUAUUAGGCAAGUUUUCUACAUCCUCAGCCUUUUUUCUUAAUUUAUUGUUCUAGUGAUAAGAAAGAGCAUCUAUCAGAAAGGAAACAUAAAGUGCUUCUGGCUCAGAAUUUUUUAAGUUUUAUUUAAGAAACCUUGUUAUAUCUAAUGUGUAAAAAUAAAGUUUAAUUUUUCUCAUACUUUAAAAAUGUUGAAACAUUGUUUAUCCUUUUUCCUUUGUCAUACCCAUGUAUCACCCCCAAAAGUGCCUUUCCAGCAUCUUGAAGGAAGUGAUCAGGAAAAUAUAAUCAGUAACUCAUGAAAUAGUAAACUCAUAACUUGUUCAAAUCUGAGAAACAGUUCAUUAAAUUACGAGUUUGUUUCUUCUUUUGUACUUCAAUAAUCAAAUUUAUCAAUGAAAUUUCUGAAAUUGUGGAAUUCAUGUUUGGUAUUCAAAACAUUUCUCACUGUUAAUGACAACAGAUACUUCAUCCUAAACACAUAGUCUUAAAAUGUAAGGAUGACAGUGGUAGACUAAAUUUUUGACCUAGUACAGUGAAUACUUUUUGUCAGACUACCAACAUUGAUUGUAAGCAAAUUUUGUGUUUUAACCUAUUUUUCUCACACCCCAACAGUUUAUAGUUUAACAAAAACUUGAGAACUUGAAGAACAGCUGGAUUAACAAAACUUACUCAACUGGCAAGCAAGCAUAAUGUAUGAAUUGUGACACCAUGGCUGCCCCCACCACAAUUACCAACCAAAAAAAAUUUAAAAAUUAAAAGGUGAAGACUGAUUAAACCAGAUAUUUAGACCAUCUGGAGAAAGGAAUGAGUGGAAUCAGAACUGACAUUGAAUAGAGCACAAUGCCUUACAGCAGCUCACUUAGCAAAGGGCAGGAAGUACCACAUGAGAUGAUCUGAGCACAAAACUGAGAACUGGGCUGCUGAAGGUGAGUCCAGCACAUCAGCGCCAGCCCAGGGGAAUUUAAGAUCAUCGCUCCCAGUGGUCAAGGACCUGCCCAGAUUCCAGCCACACAAGACUAGGCUUGGGAGGUUUUAUGCCCAACUAGACCACACCCAGUGACCUUCUUCAAUCAGGGCAGAAGAAGUAAGUUCCAGCACAUCCUUGCUUGCCCAGGGAGAACUUUGGACCAUCAUCCACAGUGGUUAGGAGCCCGCCCAGCUUUCUGGAACACUGGAGGUGGCACGGGAAGGCCUGUGGACCUGACUGGAUCACACUCAGCAACCUCCAUUCAGUCCCAGGAGCUGAGGGCAUAGGAGACGAUUUCCAACAUGCCCAGGGGAAGCUUUGGAACAUCACUUGAAACACGGAAAUAUAGGAAAAUGGAAAAAAAAUGAAAGAAAAAAUGCACAAACUUCCAUCCCAUCCCAAGAAAGCCUAGGAGCCAUACACAGAAAAACAUAUAUGCCAUAAACAUGAAAUGCCUGACAUAAUAGCAACAGAAAUACGGAAGCAACUCCAGGAAGCUGUAAAGGAAUUCAAAUUAGAAAUAAUCUCCCAGGUAAAAGAAGAAAUGAUAAAAGUAAUGAAAGAGAUGCUGAACACAUCUAAAGAAGACACAGUUAAAAAAUUGGAAGGACAAAACAAAAAGAUAGAAUCCCUGGAUGAACAAUAUGAGAAACAAAAAGAAGACAUGAAGCAAAUUCAAAAAGAUAUACAGCAAAUCAAACAUUCCAUUGAACACUGUCAAAACUGCCUCAACAAAAGUGAAGAUAGAAUUUCAGACCUCAAAAACAAGAUUGCAGCUAGUGAACAGGAAAGGAAAGAUCUUUUAAAAAUAACAAGGAAUCAGAAAAUAACAAUUCAACAGUUGCAACACGAUGCGAAGAAAAAACAACAUAAGAUUGAUAGGGAUAAAUGAAAAAGAAGGGGACAACACAAAUGAUAUCAAGAGGCUAUUUACAAAAGUAAUAGCUAAGAAUUUCCCAAACAUGAGAAUGGAAACUGACAUUAGAAUUAGUGAAGUGUAUAAAACUCCAAAUAGCCAAAACCAAAAUAAAACUACACCGAGACAUGUAACAAUCACCAUCCCAGAAAUCCAACAUAAGAACAGAAUAUUAAAAGCUGUCAGAGAGAAAAGACAGAUCACCUAUAAAGGAAAGCCUAUCAGAAUCACAGCAGACUUCUCAGCACAAACAAUAAAGUCAAGAAGAGCAUGGAGCCAGGUGUGGUAGCUCAUGCCUGUAAUCCCAGCACUCCGGAGGCUGAGGAAGGAGUGAGGGCAUAGGAGACGAUUCUGCAAGUUUGAGACCAGCCUGGGCUACACAGUGAGCUCAAGGCCAGCCUGAACUGCACAGUGAGACCCUGUCUCAAAAAGACCAAAAAAAAAAAAAAGAAGAGCAUGGAGUGAAUUAUUUCAGAUCCUAAAGGAAAAUGAUUUCCAGACUAGACUGAUGUACCCCACAAAACUGUCCUUCAAAAUCAAUGGAGAAAUAAGAUACUUCCAUGACAAAGAACAGCUGAAGAACUUCAUGAUCACCAAACCAACCCUGCAAAGAAUACUCAAAUAUUCACAUAGGAAUAUUUGAUACACAUAGGAAAAUACACAUUGGGAAAAGCCACUAAGGCAGACAAUUAAACAGAAUGGAAAGAUAAAGAUGCAACAGCAGAAAGAUAACAUAUCAACAAUAAACCAACAUAUAACAGUUAUAACCAUUAAUGUAAAUGGUCUCAAUGCACGAAUUAAAAGAAACAGACUGGCAGAAUGGAUCAAGAAACAACCAUAUCCUGUCUACAAGAAACCCAUUUAACCCAAAAAGAAACUCACAAAUUGAAAGUCAAAGGAUGGAAAAGAAUACUUCAUGCAACAGGAACCCCCCCCCAAAAAAAAGCGGGAUAGCUAUUUGUUUACAGACAAUGUGAACUGCAAACCAAGAAUGAUCCUAAGAGAUAAAGAAGGUUACCACCUACUACUUAGGGCAAAACUUCAAGAGGAAGAGAUAGCAAUCUUAAAUAUAUAUGCACCAAAUUCCAGAGCAUCAAAUUAUACAAAGCAAGUAUUAAUAGAAACGAAACAUCAAAUAAGCAAUAACAUAAUUAUAACAGGAGACCUUAACACACCAUUGACACUAAGGGACAGAUCAACCAGGCAGAAAAUCAGCAAAGAAAUAGCAGAACUGAAUCACACCUGUGAAGAAAUGGACAUGAUAGACAUAUACAGAGUGUUCCAUCCAACAUCAGAAUAUACAUUCUUCUCAGCAGUACAUGGGACAUUCUCUAAAAUAGAUUAUAUACUAGCCCAUAGACCAUAUUUAAGUAAAUGCAAAAGAGUUGAAAUUAUCCCAUGUAUGUUAUCAGAUCAUAUUGCCAUGAAACUAGAAAUUAAUGAUAACCUGCAAAAACCCCACAACCACAUGGAAAUUGAAUAAUACACUCUUGAGCAAUCAGUGGGUUACAGGGCAAAUUAAAGAAGAAAUUAAACAAUACCUACAAUCAAACAAAAAUACAAAUACAACUUACCAGAAUCUGUGGGAUGCAAUGAAAGUGGUCCUCAGAGGAAAAUUCAUUGCACUGAGUUCCCACAUCAGGAAAACAGAAUGAAUACAAAUAAACAACUUGAUGCUACACUUUAAACAUCUGGAAAAAGAAACACAAGUCAAACCCAAAGACAAAAGAAGGGAGGAAAUUAUAAAAAUCAGAGCAAAAAUUAAUGCAAUAGAGACUAAGAAAACAAUCCAAAGAAUUAAUGAAUCAAAGAGUUGGUUCUUGGAAAGAAUGAAUAAAAUUGAUAAGCCCCUAGCCAACCUUAUUUAAAAAAGGGAAGAAAAAGCUCAAAUUCAUGCAAUAAGGAUUGAAAAAGGGGAAAUCACUACAGACUCUGUGGAAAUACAGAAGAUCAUCAAAACCUAUUUCAAAAACCUCUACUCUCAUAGAUUCGAUAACACAGAUGAAAUGAACAGAUUCCUAGAAGCAUAUGAAGUACCAAUUCUGGGUCUAACCCAAUUUCUAUUGAUGAAAUUGAAAAUGCAAUUAAGUCUUUACCUACAAAGACGAGCCCAGGCCCAGACAGAUUCACUGAAGAAUUCUACAAGAAAUACAAAGAAUUAAUGCCAACACUCCUCUAACUCUUCAAUGAAAUUGAAAGGGAAGCAAUUCUUCCUAAGUCAUUCCUGGAAGCAAAUAUUACUCUAGUACUAAAACCUGAGAAAGACCCAACUAAAAAAGAGAACUAUAGACCAAUCUCCCUAAUGAACACAGAUUCAAAAAUCCUCAAUAAAAUAUUGGCAAACAGGAUGGAGCAAAUCAUCAAGAAGAUUAUACACCAAGACCAAGUGGGAUUCAUCCCAGGAAUGCAGGGAUCGUUCAACAUACAUAUAUCAAUACAUGUAAUCCACCAUAUCAAUAGAGCCAAAAAUAAGAAUCACAUGAUCAUUUCUAUAGAUGCAAAAAAAGCUUUUGAUAAGGUCCAACACUCAUUCAUGCUAAGAAACCUUCAGAAAAUUGGAAGAGAUGGUCUUUACCUCAAUAUGAUAAGGCCAUCUAUGACUAACAGCCAGCAUCAUAUUAAAUGGCCAAAAACUAAAGGCCUUUACUUUAAAAUCAGGCACAAGACAAGGAUAUCCCUUAUCACUGCUCAUAUUCAAGAUUGUACUGGAAAUACUAGCCAGAGCAAUUAGACAAGAGAGAGAAAUAAAAGGGUUAAAGAUAGGAAAAGAGGAAGUUAAGUUAUCAUUAUUUGCAGAUGACAUGAUAUUCUACAUAGAAGACCCCCAAAACUCCAUUGAAAGACUCCCAGAUAUAAUAAAUAAAUUCAGCAAUGUAGCUGGAUACAAAAUCAAUACUCAAAAAUCAAUAGCAUUUCUAUACACUAACAACAAAAUCACUGACAGAGAAAUAAGAGAAGCCACACCCUUCACACUAGCAUCCAAAAAAAUGAAAUACUUAGGAAUUAAUCUCAUAAAAGAUUAUACAAGGAAAAUUAUAAUGGUCUGAAAAAGAAAUUGAAGAUAAUCUCAGAAAAUGGAAAGACAUCCCUUGUUCAUGGAUAGGAAGAAUAAAUAUUGUGAAAAUGGCCAUUCUCCCAAAACUGUUAUACAGAGUCAAUGAAAUCCCAAUGAAAAUACCAUUAAUAUACCGCAUAGAUCUAGAAAAAUCACUCCUAAAAUUCAUCUGGAACCAGAAGAGACCUAGAAUAGCAAAAGAAAUUCUAAGCAGCAAAAGGCCAGGCAGGAGGCAUCAUAAACCCUGACUUGAAGUUAAACUACAAAGCAACUGUAAUAAAAUCAACAUGGGACUGAAUUAAAAACAGAUCUGAAGAUCAACAAAAUAGAUUAGAAGAUACAACCACAACUACAAACACACUCAACCACCUUAUCUUUGAUAAAGGAGCCAAGCAGGUUCACUGGAAGAACGACAGUCUCUUUAAUAAAUAGAAAAACUGGCUCUCCAUAUGUCAAAAACUAAAACUAGACCCAUGUCUAUCACCAUGUACUAAACUAAAAUGUAAAUGGAUCAAAGACCUGAAUAUUAAAACAGAAACACUAAAUCUGUUGGAAGACAAAUUAGGUAAAAAUCUUGAAGACAUAAGGGUAGGUAGAGAAUUCAUGAACAGGAAUCAAACCUCACGGGAAAUACUUCCCAGAAUCAAUAGCUGGGAUCACAUCUUAUUAAAAAGUUUCUGCAUGUCAAAAGAAAUGUCCAGCAUAGUAAAAAGAAAACCCACAAACUGGAAAAAAAACUUAGUGAACUGUUCUUCAGACAAAGGACUUCUGUCUAAAACAUAUAAAGAAUUUUAAAAAAUCAGACCCCCAAAAUUCAAAGACCCAAUCCAAAAAUGGGCAUCUGAGAUGAAUACAUACUUCUCAGAUGAAGAUAUACAAAUGGCAAAUAAAUACAUGAAAAAAUGUUCAUCAUCAUUAUUUGUUAGAGAAAUGCAAAUUAAAAUCACACUGAGAUUCUACCUCACUCCUGAAAGAAUGGCCAGGAUCAAGAAAACUGCCAACAACAAAUGCUGGAGAGGCUGUGGGGAAAAAGGAACUCUCCUGCACUGUUGGUGGGAGUAUAGACUGGUGCAACCAUUGUGGAGGUCAGUCUGGAGAUUUCUCAAAAAGCUGAGAUUGGAAAUCCCAUUUGUUCCAGGUAUUCUACUUCUAAGCAUAUUCCCAGAAGAACUGAAAACAUCAUACCACAGUGAUAUAUGUGCACCCAUGUUUAUAGCAGCACAGUUUGUAAUAGCCAGAUCUUGGAAACAAACUAAGUGUCCAUCAACUGAGGAAUGGAUAAAAAAGUUGUUGUAUUUCUAUACAAUGGAGUACUACUCAGCUAUAAAGAAUGAUCACAUUGAGAUAUUUAUAAAUAAACGGACACAGCUUGAGACCAUAUUCAUAAGUGAAAUGAAUCAAACUCACAUGUAUAAAUACCAUAUAGUCUCCAUAGUGUAAGAAAUGGUAAGAGUACAUAAGAGUUUAUGGUAAUCAUGAAUCCCCAUUACAUUGCUUUGAAGCCGUAUAAUGUUUUCUUUCAUUAGUUGAAAUGGUUUUAUUCUGGUUUGUUUGAUUUUAUUAUCUGUGAUGGUAUGAACAGCUAUUUUGAAGAAAACAUGACAUUAUAAUAGCCAGUUCUGAUUUAAUAUCAUCUUCCUUGGAAGUCCUACCAUGCUUUUGUUCUUCUGUUUCCAUUGGUUCUAUCAUGUUGUAUCUUACUGGGUUUUAUUAUGUGUGAUAAUAUAAACAAAAUUUUUAUGGACAUUGAGAUAAUAUAGUAGCCAUUGUUGCUUUUCUGUUAUUUGGUUCUAACACUUUUAUUGUAACACUGUAACACUUUCAUUCUCUUGAAUGGUUUUAUACUAUUUUGUAUGUUUGAUACUAUUGUAUAUGAAGCUAUGCUCAGCUAGUUCAAAGAAAGAGACAUUACUGUAUUUCUAAAUGUACUAUUGGUUUGGUAUUAUUUUUGAUUAUUGUUUUAUAUCAAGUAAAUGCUUUUAAUUCCAUAAUAUGUAUUUUUUAUGAAGAAUAACUUUAUAAGGGCCUUUACCAAAUGAUUAAUUCAGGUACAUUUGCAGUUGUUUGAGAACUUGAUCUGCAUAGGUUGUUCAUUUUCAAUUUUUUUGUUAGGUUGGCUAAUCACUAUAUAGUUCAUUUAUUGUGGGAGACAACUGCAGUGACUCCCUUUGAAUCCAAAACAAUUACUGUGACUUUGAUUAUUUGGAGACUCAUUUCCCUAUACUGAUAUGUAAAAAGCUGGCAGGGUAUUUCCUUCUCUCUUCAAUUGGCUCUGAGCAUUGCAAAUAAGGCUAUCUGAGGUGCUAUUAUGCAAUCUCUAUAGCCGACAGACAGUCCUGUUUCCUAGCAUGGUGUUCUCCAUGCACAGGCCUGAGCACUGGAGAUGUUAGAGCAAACAGCUCCGGGAAUGUCAGCGGGCACAGCCUCAAGAUAGGAGGCCAUGACUCCCCGGGGGCACAAGAGUUUGCAUGUCAGAAAUGGAAGUAUAGCCCCCCAAAACAAUCCCACCGCUACCUUAAUUGGGUUAUGUAGAUUGAUCCUUCUGCAUAUCUUUAUCUCUGCGACUUACAGAGAUGCCAGUCUUGCACCUGGCCAGCCAGCUCAAGUUACUCCUGCAAUUCUCGCCUCCCCCACUGUCCCUCAUCCCUGAGCCACCCCGCUUCUACACAAGAUAAUAAAUGCUGGGAGAGGCCUAGGAUCAAGGCCUUUGUCCACCUGUCCUUGUGAGGAUUGGAUUUAGGGCCCCUUGGCUGCCCUGAACUUAGAAUAUAUCUUGGUGUCUUUACUCUUGCCGUGGGUUGGAUUGGUGGUGGUAGAUUGGAAUUAACUUAUUGGGAUUCCAGUAACAUCUCAAUGGGAUUACAAAUAUAACCUUUUGGAUUGUGAGGAAAACUAAAAAGAGGAUUACAAUAUUUGGAUAACUGAAAUCAAUAUUUGGAUUUACAAUAAUUUUUAUCUUGAAAAAUUAUUUUAUGAUGACAGAAUCAUAUUUUGCUGGGGAAAGCCACUUGUAUCUGUUAUAUGAGACAUUUUUUGACUAUUUGUUCAGCAAAUAAGGUGGCACUGUGGGUACAGCUUCUGCAGGUUUCAGUAGCUGAUUCCUGUACAUCAGGUAUGCUCUAUCUUAAAGUCAGUAGGACAUAUACAAUUUUGGUUCUGAGGACCUAGAUUUAUCAGAAAUCUAUACGGCACUUCACAAAAAAUAUAUGCCAUAUAUUUUUUAACAUGAGCUAGGUCGAGCCUCUCUGAUAUCACAGAGUUUUGUAAUAAUUGCCUCAUCAAAGUGUGUUUAUCUUAUACUGGUCUUGUUUAUAACACCAUGCAAAGUGUUGCUAGAAUGCAGCUAGAGCUCCAAAAGUUUGGGAUAGCUCUAAAUCAGCCCACAUUCUUCCCAACUGAGCCAAAGGCAUAGAUAAUGCUAAAUUUCAUGAAACUGAUUAUACAAUAGCAGCACAUUUUUGGCAUUUUGUGACGGUCAUUGACCUCUGUGUUGCAAAAUCCAACAGAUAUUUUUUCAGUUCUCAUUUGCUUUCGGGUUUCUUAGUGGUAUGCCGAGCACUAACACCACCUUCUUAAAAAGUCUGACUUUUGUGGCCAACUCCAAGUCACUCCUGGCUUCUCUUCCAACCUAGGAAUGUGAACUUAGUUUCCCCUUUAAACUCGGGAAAUCAAAUCUCAGGUUUUGCUGGUUGGUUUGUUUUGCCAUGCAGGGACUGCACCCAGGACCUCAGGUGUGCAAAGCGUAAGCCCUACCACUGAGGUGCUUGUGCCACAGCCCAGCUCUCAGUGUUAGGACUCCCAGGGAUUCAGUGUCAUUUAAUGACUUUUAUAUUCCCUGGAGAGCAGGGAUCACAACCUGAUUCCUUGUGGUUAUGGUUACACCAUUUUUAAAUGACAAAACUCUCUGAAUUUGAGUAUUUCAGGAGAGACAUGCUUUCUCUCCCCUCCCACAGCCUCUCUGUCUGAAAGCAUUGGCGACCCUUGUGUUGCCUAAGCUUGUCCUUGCCGCUGUAAGGCUCCUGCCACCUGAGUCCCCCUCACCAGCCACCUGCGCUCCUUAUCUCCCAGUGGUAGCACAUCUGUCUCAAGUUGAAUUUCCAGAUGUUUCAGACUACAAAGAGAUUCCUGUUAAUCAUCUGAUGCUGCCCUAUACUCUGCUUUAACUGUGCAUGCAGCAAUGUGUUAUAUUUCCUUUAUGCAAUUAUUUGAAUAUCAUCUGACUCGCCACUUGACUAAAUUCCAGAAGAGCUGGGUGUGUGUAUAUUUAUCCUUGCACUCUCAGCAGCUAGCUCAGUUAUCUCAUGAAUGUUUUAAGGAAGUAAACGUGCUCUUUUUGAAAGAUAACUGAUAUAUUUCAAACUUGCAAAUAUUAGCUAUUGAGAGGGCCUAGAGUGGUAAUAUACUUGGAAUUUUAAUUCACUCGAAGUAAACACUGUUACAUUUUAUUAAGACAAGGUAUCUCUCCACUCUUUGUUUAUACAGCAAACUUUAUCAUUCCUCUUAUAUGGCCAGAUUCCUCCUACAGUUUAGAAAGAUGUGUAAGUGUCUUCAUUUUUCACAGCAUAGCACACUUCUUCAAAGGAAGGGUAACUUCCUGAAUUAGUCCAUCAGAGAACUGUCAUAAAAAAUUAAAAACCUUCUUUCUAAGCAUAAACAUUAACCAACAUGAAGUUUCUAAAAAGACUGGGGGAGGCAGGGACAAGGCUCAGCAGUACAGUGUCUGUCUGACAAGCGUGAGGUCAUGAGUUCAAUUCUGGUACUAAAUAAAAUAAAAUAAAAGACUGGGGCUGGGCAUGUACCUCGGUCGGCGGCAGACCAUGUUUAGCACUUACAGGCCUGUCUUAGUUAUUUUUCUUGUUGCUGAGACAAAGUUAAGGAAGGAAAGUUUUGCUGAGCUCAUAGCUUAUCCAGGUGUCAGUCUAUAAUCAGCUGGAACAGGGGAUUUAGCUCAGUGGCAUAAGCACCUGCCUGGAUCCCCAGUACAAAAAACAAAGCCUUCGAUAUAGAUAAUAAUCAGCUGGCUCCCCGGCAGGGUAGCACAUAGCAGAGGGGCAAUAGUUCAUGGCAGCAGGAGACAGCAUAAGCAAUGAGCAAAAAAGGGGAAACAAAUCCCUUUCUGCCCCUUUUAUCCUAUCCAAACUACUGGGAUUAGGGCGGUGAAAAUCUAACGGUAGACUGAUUCAGCUCUCAACCACCCUUAAUCCCUACACCUUUAAACCCACCAGUGCGUUACCUAUUAAUCACACAGUCUAGAUUCAGCUACCUCCCCAAAAACCAAACAAACAAAUCAAAAACAAACACCACCAUCUAAAAGUACACAAGGCUUUGGAGGUACAUCUAGACACAUGGGCCCGUGUCUAAUCCCCAACACACACACACACACACACACACACACACACACACACACUCACACACACACACACACUCACACACACACACUCACACACACACUCACACACUCACACACACUCACACACUCACACACACACUCACACACUCACACACACUCACACACUCACACACACAUUCACACUCACACACACACACACUCACACACACACACUCACACACUCACACACACUCACACACACUCACACACACUCACACUCACACACUCACACUCACACACUCACACACACACUCACACUCACACACACACACUCACACACACACUCUCACACACACUCACACUCACACACACACUCACACACACACUCACACACACACACACUCACACUCACACACAGGACUGAAUUAUGAAAUGUAAAACUUUUUAUGUUAAAAACCACGAUACAGAGGCUGAGGAUAUAGCUCAGUGGCACAAUGCCUGCUGAGCAAGUACAAGGUCUUGAGUUUGAUUCUUGGUACCAAUAAAUAAAUAAACCAAAAUAUAGCCAGGUGUGGUGGUGCACACCUAUAAUUUCAGCAGUUGGGAAGAUUAGAAGGAUCACAUCUUGGUGUCUUAGCAAGACCCUGUCUCAAAAAUUUUUUUAGAAAGGGCUGGGGAAUAGCCCAAUGUGAAUGAAUGCCCUAGAUUUCAUGACCAAUACCACAAAAACAAAAAUAUAAAUUGUAUAGUAUACAACUAUUAAAAAGAAAACUGCAUGUAUUAAAUUUGAGGUAUGUGUAAGACACAGUCAUGUACCAAGUCAAAUAUACUAUGUAUGUGUUUCCAGUUUUGAAAAGAAAUAAAAUUGGUAGAAUAUGCAUAAGAAAAACAUGUAGGAAUAUAUACCAAAUUUUCAACUUGAAAUAAUAAAAUAUGGGAAAUUUUCAGUAUAUAUUCAGUAUUAAUUUUUAUAUUAUUUUUAUGUUUUUAAACCGGGCAUGUAUUACUGUUGUAUUAUGUACCAAAAAAGGUAAAUGUACAAAAAAAUAUAACUCAAUUGGAACAAAUAUAUGUCAUCACAUAUGUAUAGCCAUAUUACAAAUGCUUCCAAAUGAAUAACAAGACAAACACCAAGAUAUAUUUUUAAAAAUAGAACAUGUACAUGAAAAACAGUCCAUAAAGGAGGCAUGGUGGCACACACCUGGAAUCCCGCAACUUUGGGAGAAUCACAAGUUCAAACCCAGCCUGGACAAUUUAGCAACUUAGUGAGAGCUUGUCUCAAAAGUAAAAAUCUGGGGAUGUGGUUCAGUGCAAAUGCCCUGGGUUCUAUCUCCAGUACUAAAAAGAAAAGAAAAGAAAAAGAAGAAAUACAAAGCUGUCUUGGUUACUUUUCUAAUCAUGGAGACAAAAUACCCAAUAUCCAAGGUUAAAGGCGUAAAGGUUUAUUUCAGCUGUUUGUAGAGGCUCCAUUCCAGAGACGGCUGGCUUUAAGGGAGGGUGGCAUGGGAGAGGAGCACUGCAGAACAGAAACAGUCCAUGGCAAAGCAGGACAGGCAGAAGUCUCCCUGCACCGCGGCAUCACACACCCUAUAUCCAGCCACCACUUAAGAGCCCCACCUAUGACCACAUGAGGCUUUAAGGAGACAGAUACAAGCCAUAUCAAAAUCACUGUAAGCAUCAGAAAAGAAUUUUCAUGGAUAAUCAAGUUACAGGCAGCUAAAUUAGAUAGAAAUUAAUAUACAAGUCAGGGAGGGACUGGACAGUCACAGCAGUCAGCAGGAAGAACAGACAUCAGAACUGUCACUGAAGGCCCAUCUGAAGACCAGGCCUCGAAGAUGCAAUGGCCAGACCACAGACCUCCCCAAGGGAUAAACGGUAACUUAGAAUCAUACUAUAAUCAGCACCGUCUGGUCCAGAAAGUCCAGCUAGGAAUCGGUCAUCCAGGUAAGUUCCUUCUGUGCAGUCUCACUACAUGACUUACUUUCUACUGGACCAAUAUUAGCUAAGCGGCUCUACCUGUAAUCCUAGAGAUUGACUGUAAAAAUGUGUGCCCACAUUUUUAUCCAUAUUGUGACUUUUCUGUGUAAAUUAUCCCUGACAGUUGCUAUUACCGUGGACAUACUAUCUGCCUGGUUUCAGCUUGGCUUUUAAGAUACAGCAUUUUGUACUGUAACUUAUCUGUUUACGAUGUUAAAAUAAUCAUUUGGUAUCUUCGCAUAGUCUUCCAAGUGAUACUUCCUAAUGGCUGCAUGUGAGAAAUGAAUUUACUGUCCAGAUCGCCCCGCUAAAAACAAACUGGACUCCAGAGGCAGUGAAAGUGAAGCUUUAAUCCAGUGGCAGUGAACCUACUGUGUACAUGUUGUUUUUCUUUUAACACAAAAGAUGUUAAUGCAUGAGUUGUGUUUUCUCAACUACAACCCCAGCAUUCAGGUUCGUUUGCAGCAUUGGUUGCUCUGUGAUAAGUAAGAGGGUUUGGGGUACAGUCUGGGCACCAUCACUGCUUUAGUCUAUACUCUUGCAAGAGUGGUGCCCAGACAGACACAACAGAGAUGAGGAGCUACGUGCUUUUAAUUCAGAAGAACCUGUUUGGUAAUUAUCUCUUGCCCCAGUACCUUAUCUCUGGCGUGAGUCUUUUUACAGCCUGUGGGCCAUUGUUUACUACUUGACCCAGCUCACCCUGUGAAUAAGGGCUCAACAGAGUGGUUAAUUAAACAUGGACCAAUUAAAAAAUUUUUAAUCCAUUAAAA